Molecule: ribosomal RNA, 253 nt
Filed under: uncultured bacterium
Lineage: Bacteria
Description: partial 16S ribosomal RNA
Rfam family: Bacterial small subunit ribosomal RNA
Source: RNAcentral
UACGUAGGUGGCAAGCGUUGUCCGGAUUUACUGGGCGUAAAGAGCGCGCAGGCGGUCGUUCAAGUCGAGUGUGAAAGCCCCCGGCUCAACUGGGGAGGGUCAUUCGAUACUGAUCGACUGGAAGGCAGGAGAGGGAAGCGGAAUUCCCGGUGUAGUGGUGAAAUGCGUAGAUAUCGGGAGGAACGCCGGUGGCGAAAGCGACUGUCUGGGGUGCCUGUGACGCCGAGGCGCGAAAGCCAGGGGAUCAAACGGG